AAUCACUAAUUACUCUUAUAAAAAUUAGAAUUUUUAGGAUUUAAGAACUCUUCAAUUUCCCUUCCGAUCAUCCCGAAUCCUCGAGAUUUCUUUCGAUUGAACUCAUUUCUCUCUUCUUCGCCACGCACUCUUGUCUCUGUAAGCGGUGAUUUUGGUUCUGGACAAUGUCUCGUGUUUAUGUUGGGAAUUUAGACCCUCGAGUCAGUGAGAGGGACCUCGAAGAUGAAUUUCGUAUAUAUGGUGUUCUUAGGAGUGUCUGGGUUGCUCGAAGACCACCGGGAUAUGCAUUUAUUGAGUUUGAUGAUAGGAGGGAUGCACUUGAUGCAAUUCAGGCCUUGGAUGGAAAAAAUGGUUGGCGUGUAGAGCUUUCUCAUAAUUCCAAGGGUGGUGGCCGAGGAGGGCGUGGGCGUGGAGGUGAAGACACAAAAUGCUAUGAAUGUGGUGAACCUGGACACUUUGCUCGGGAGUGCCGAUUGCGCAUUGGAUCACGUGGCCUUGGAAGUGGAAGGAGGCGAAGUCCAAGUCCUUAUCGGCGUCGUAGAAGUCCGAGUUAUGGUUAUGAUCGCAGUAGUUAUAGCCCUCGUGGGAGAAGAUCUCCAAGACGACGUAGCAUUUCACCUCCCUGGGGUCGCAACUACAGCAGGUCCCCUCCAUAUCGUCCUCGCCGUGAUUCACCUUAUGCCAAUGCGUAUGUUUAUGUUCAACUCAGUUGUUCUUUACUCUGAGAGUAGAUUAAAAUCAGAAUGUGAACGGAGCAAGUGCUGAAUAGUUGUUAGGAUGUUCUCUCUGCUAUAGUGUAGUUCCUCUAGGAUUGGUUGAGCAUACCACAGACAUGUUAGUUAUGUUGAUGUCAUGACAAUGGGUAUUGUUAAGAACUUGGCUUUUGAUGGAACUACAUAGGGUUGUAGCUGGCAAAAGGGUGCGUUGGACACUGUUUUGCAUUGGCUGUCUCUCUUCAGCUUACUGAAACCUGAAGGUGCCUAAAAUGUUCACGUUUCUUUGUUUUGAGGUGUGAUUACCGGCCAAAACAGCACCAUUUUGCCACUUACUACGUCUUGCCUGCUUCUCUGCUUCAUGCCCCCUCAAUCGUCUCAUCUUGUUUCUGCAUCUAAGUUGACUAAAAGUUCAAUGUCAACAAGUUGGUUGUGUAUGACCUUUUUGCUUACUGUUCAGGAAAGGAAUGCUACAUAUGCAUCCCCCUUAGGAUUUGGAGGAGUCUAAAGGUGGAUGAUAGAAUGUAGUCAUUGGCUUGCUGUAUCUUCAUGAAAUUAAGAUAAAUUAGGAAUUAUUUAGCGAGUAACUGCAUAUAGUGUCUGCUUCACACCAUUCUAUAUGGUCAUAUUGAUGGUUGCUGCUUCUAAUUGUCUGCAUCUUGAUUAGAAUGUUACUUGUUUCAUCCGUGGUCUCUGAUAUAUGCUUGCCGUUUGGGAGCAAUGGUCAUCAUCUUGGUUGUGUAGGACACUGUAUUGUGUAUCCUCCUUCGGCAAAUCACCUGUUGAUCUAUGAUCUCUAAGGACUGGGACUAGAAAGAGUGAUUCCAUUUAACCAAAUGAGUACUUGCCAAAUGUCUUUCAUUCUCCACUUGCUGCUCUGCUCUUUGUGAUCUGUGUCCACAGCUUUCUCAUUUGACUGAUUAACUUUUGCAUGCUUCUGUAUGGAAUUUUGUGUCAUCUUCAGCUACUGGGAUCUGUCACUUUGUCUCCCAUCUGCAGUUUUGUUUUGCUAAAUAUCGUCCGCUCCUAAUCAAGUGUAUUAACUCCGGUUGAUUGGAAGCAUUGAUUGCAUUAAGAUGUUUGAAUUUGAGGAAUUCGUUGCUUCUUGUCCUUGUCUUAGAAUGUGAGUUUAGUGUUGCCACUUGCGUAUAGCUCCAUUAAGAUUAGUUGAUUUUGAUCUGGUUAAUUAUGUUUUAAGUAUUAAGUACCUUUUUUGUAAAAAAAAA
This is an RNA transcript of Glycine soja, 1939 nucleotides long. It is a transcript of the gene named serine/arginine-rich splicing factor RSZ21-like, with no coding region annotated. The record is from RefSeq and is a predicted model, not a curated record. The transcript has 7 exons. Lineage: Eukaryota; Viridiplantae; Streptophyta; Magnoliopsida; Fabales; Fabaceae.